RNAcentral lists this ribosomal RNA (468 nucleotides) under uncultured bacterium. Its description in RNAcentral is "partial 16S ribosomal RNA". It matches the Rfam family "Bacterial small subunit ribosomal RNA", at positions 28 to 507 of the family's 1533-position model. The record is from RNAcentral.
GAUGAACGCUGGCGGCGUGCCUAACACAUGCAAGUCGAACGGAAGGGCCCUGCUCUUGUGUCGUGCUCGAUUGGCGAACGCGUGAGUAACACGCGAGUAACACGCCCUUGUCUUUGUGGUAACUCCACGAAACUGGGGCUAUUAUCGCAGAGGAGCUUCUGCUGCACGGUGGUCGUUGGUAAGAUUCGGUGGUUGGGGCUGGUAUCGCGGCUUACCCGCUAGUUUGUCAAGUAUGUGCUUACCAAGGCUUUGACGGAUAGCCGGCCUGAGAGGGGGACCGGGCACAUUGGGACUGAGGGACGGCGCAGACGGCUACGGGAGGCAGCGGUCGGGAACAUUGCGCAGUGGGCGGAAGCGUGAGGCAGCGGCGCCGCGUGCGUGAUGACGGCCUUCGAGGUGUAAACCGCUGUCGCCGGUGACGUAGAGUGAGUGACGGUAAUGGGUAAAGAAGCACCGGCUAACUACGUG